GUUUCCGUAGGUGAACCUGCGGAAGGAUCAUUGUCGAAACCUGCACAGCAGAACGACCCGCGAACCCGUCUUGACAUCGGGGGCCUGCGGGCCUCGUGCCCGUGCGCUCCCACCCGCGCGCCGUGUCGGGGGUCGGACGAACGCUCCGGCGUGAGUCCGCCCUCUCGCGGCGCGUUAACGAACCCCCGGCGCGAAUCGCGUCAAGGAAACCUGAACGAGAGAGCUCGCUCCCGUCGCCCCGGACACGGUGUGCGCGGGACGUGCGGCCUUCUUUAAUUAUCUAUAACGACUCUCGGCAACGGAUAUCUCGGCUCUCGCAUCGAUGAAGAACGUAGCGAAAUGCGAUACUUGGUGUGAAUUGCAGAAUCCCGUGAACCAUCGAGUCUUUGAACGCAAGUUGCGCCCGAAGCCAUUAGGCCGAGGGCACGUCUGCCUGGGUGUCACGCAUCGUCGCCCCCAUCCACACACGCUGCGGCGUCAUGGAUGCGGGCGGAAAAUGGCCUCCCGUGUGCCCGUGCGCGCGGCUGGCCCAAAACCCGAGUUCUCGGUGACGCUCCCCGCGACGAUCGGUGGCGUUCGAAACAGAACCUAGUGAUCCCGUCGCGCGGUCGCGUCGUCCCGUCCACGGACUCGUCGACCCUCGGGGGCGGGCAAAGGCCCGUCCGCAUCGCGACCCCAGGUCAG
Molecule: ribosomal RNA, 684 nt
Filed under: Abrahamia sericea
Lineage: Eukaryota; Viridiplantae; Streptophyta; Magnoliopsida; Sapindales; Anacardiaceae
Description: eukaryotic LSU rRNA
Rfam family: 5.8S ribosomal RNA (bases 288-443)
Source: RNAcentral